Molecule: ribosomal RNA, 532 nt
Filed under: Acyrthosiphon pisum (pea aphid)
Lineage: Eukaryota; Metazoa; Arthropoda; Insecta; Hemiptera; Aphididae
Description: SSU rRNA
Rfam family: Eukaryotic small subunit ribosomal RNA
Source: RNAcentral
UGUCUCAGUGCAAGCCGCAUUAAGGUGAAACCGCGAAAGGCUCAUUAAAUCAGUUGUGGUUCCUUAGAUCGUACCCAAGUUACUUGGAUAACUGUGGUAAUUCUAGAGCUAAUACAUGCCGACAGAGUUCCGACCGUCGCGGCGCCCCCGGGCGUCGCGUGCGGGAGGAACGCUUUUAUUAGAUCAAAACCGGCCCGUCGCGGCGCGCCUCGUGCGCGUCCCGAUCGCGGCCCGCGCAAAGACCUGGUGACUCUGAAUAACUUCGAGCUGAUCGCACGGUCUCCGUACCGGCGACGCAUCUUUCAAAUGUCUGCCUUAUCAACUGUCGACGGUAGGUUCCAUGCCUACCGUGGUGGUAACGGGUAACGGGGAAUCAGGGUUCGAUUCCGGAGAGGGAGCCUGAGAAACGGCUACCACAUCCAAGGAAGGCAGCAGGCGCGCAAAUUACCCACUCCCGGAACGGGGAGGUAGUGACGAAAAAUAACGAUACGGGACUCAUCCGAGGCCCCGUAAUCGGAAUGAGAACACUUUA